AAGGAGGGAGUCAGUGAUAUUCUCUCUUGACAAGCUUCACAUUGAGAUUUUUUUAGACUUUGAGGAGGAAUUAAGAACUGAACAAACUUUCUGAGAUAGAAAACAAGUGCGGAAAAAGCUAGUCCAGAAUCUGUAGUGAAAAUACCGAUUUAAAAACUACUUCUAAAUAUGUUUUGACAUGAAGUGUAACUUCGCAGUAACAUGCUGAAGUAAAAAUUUUCUGCUUGUUAGAACUGAUGUAAAAUGCCUGCUGAAUUUCCCCUGAUGACUUUCUCUGUUGAAGUAAACAGUGUGCAGGGAGAAAAUAUGAACACAGCCCCUGCCUGUAUAUGCUCGCACACUCAUACACACAGACACACCCUUGUACACACACACACACACACACACAAAAGCACAGACACACACUCAGCCUCACACACACUCACAAAGCAUCCUCUGUGAGGUGCCCUAAAUCGGCGGCCGACAGCCCAAACCGUGUUUCCUGUCCAGCUUAACCACAAAAGGCAAUAACACACAACCUAAUGUCACCGCUGUUAAUCACACACACACACACACAGAGGCUGGAGACACAGUCAUGUGUUGUGUAUGUGCGGAGAGGAGGGGUUGGGUGGGUGCAAAAGACGUGGGCUAACUCGUGGCCUCUGGGACUACCUCUCUCUCUCUCUUUUUCUGCAUGUCUGUCUUCCUCUCUCGUUCAUUCAUCCACCCAAAGUUUUAGUCACCAGCGAGGCAUCGCUCCACAUACUUUCCUUGUCAUGUUUUCAGCUUUUUCUCCCCUCUCCCUCCCCCUUCUUUAAAAACUUAUUUAUGUCUUUACACUGAGUCACAGCAAGAUGUGAUCGUCACUGACAUUUCAGCACAGAGGAAAGGAUGAAGGAAAGAUGAAGGACAGAGGGAGGAAUGAAGGAAAGGUGAACGACAAAGAGAGACGGACAUGGACUUCAUCGUCUGACUCAUCACCAUGAAGAGGAGGGCACAAGCUCAACCCUGGAUUGAUGCGCCCUGGCAGCCCCCUGUGUACUUGCUCUGAGGGAGAAGGGGGGACAACAGAGAGAACAGAAGAAAAGAGAAGAGGGAGAGAGCGUGAGGAAAUCUAGAGUGAAGAGGAAAUGAUUUUCUGAUUUUCUACACAGGCUUUGUGGUCCUGGAAGGCUGUUUAUAUGUGUGUGUGUGUUUUUUUAAGUCCAUUGGUGAGAACAAGAGGAGAGGAGAUUGUGCUAUCCACUGCCUCAGGGCUAAGCUGAGCCUAUAUAUUUAAGCCCCUACUGUUCCUUGCUUAACAAUAACGCCUACAAGUUUUAAUUUAAUUCUGUCUUUUCCCUUUAACUAAAUAAUCCACUUCCAUUUUCUAUGUCACAGCUGGAGAAAUAAAUCUAAUCUUAUCACACAGCAGACUGGGUGUGAGGUUUGAUGCUUAUGAGUUCUUCUUUCCUAUUUUUUUUUCUUUUUCUUCUUCAAGGCCAUGUGUGAUGAGGAAUAACAGAGACACAAGUGUGUAAGUGUGUGUGUAGUUUAGAGGGCAGGUAGGGCAGGGGGACAUGCAUGGGAGCCUUGCCAGUUUGUGGCAUUUUACAGUAUUUUUGUACAUGUGCAACCGUGCGUGUUUGUGAUACGUGUGUUUUCUUUGAUGAGGGGAGGAAGGUGAAUUGAGAUAAGACAUAAAAGCCAAACAAGAUGCCAAAGUAAGACAGUGACGGUGGAUGAGGAGUAGGGAAAAGAUGAGUGAAACUAGUCUGGGAAUCUGAGAGAAAAGACAGGAAAAAGUAGAGACUAACUGUGCUACUUGAGGUUUAAGGCUACCGGCCAGCUGGCCUGUGGCCACUCCAGUUGUGGUGAGCCUCCUAAACAUCUUACAACCCGGCAGCCUCCGUUUAGCAGCAUGCAGCCUACACCCACACACCGUCAUUACCAGACCACAACUCACCGCCUUUUUAUAGAAGCCAUUUACAUCAGAUUUCAAUAUUGGUUCAAUGUGUAGCUAG
Long non-coding RNA from Lates calcarifer (barramundi perch), 1982 nucleotides. RefSeq lists it as uncharacterized. The record is from RefSeq and is a predicted model, not a curated record. NCBI's taxonomy places the organism in Eukaryota, Metazoa, Chordata, Actinopteri, Centropomidae. The transcript has 3 exons.